CCUACGGGAGGCAGCAGUGAGGAAUAUUGCUCAAUGGACGAAAGCCUGAACCAGCCAUGCCGCGUGCAGGAAGACGGUCCUAUGAGUUGUAAACCGCUUUUGCACGGGGGCAAAGGCCGAUACGUGUACCUCACUGAAAGUACCGUACGAACAAGGAUCGGCUAACUCCGUGCCAGCCGCCGCGGUAAUACGGAGGGUUCAAGCGUUAUCCGGAUUUAUUGGGUGUAAAGUGUGCGUAGGCGGUCGGAUAAGUUAGCGGUGAAAUCUCGAGGCUCAACGUCGGAAUUGCCUCUGAUACUGGUCGGCUAGAGAGUAGGUGCGGUAGGCGGAAUGUAUGGUGUAGCGGUGAAAUGCAUAGAGAUCAGACAGAACACCGAUUGCGAAGGCAGCUUACCAGGCUACUUCUGACGUUGAGGCACGAAAGCGUGGGGAGCAAACAGGAUUAGAUACCCGGGUAGUC
Molecule: ribosomal RNA, 460 nt
Filed under: uncultured bacterium
Lineage: Bacteria
Description: partial 16S ribosomal RNA
Rfam family: Bacterial small subunit ribosomal RNA
Source: RNAcentral